CUGAAGGCCGCGUCCGGGUCAAUUCCCCGCUGCGGGAACACCCGAUCUCCCUGCUCGUUCCCUCCGGAAUGGAGGUCGAGCAGGGGGAGCGCGUCACCAUCAG
Halorubrum saccharovorum is the source of this 103-nucleotide regulatory RNA element. It matches the Rfam family "L4-Archaeoglobi ribosomal protein leades". NCBI's taxonomy places the organism in Archaea, Methanobacteriati, Methanobacteriota, Halobacteria, Halobacteriales, Haloferacaceae. The record is from Rfam.